GAGACACCCUUCUGGGGCAAGACUUGCUGCAGUAGGGCUUUGGUGCUCACUGAGUCUGCCCCCUGAGUGUGUCCCU
This 76-nucleotide microRNA precursor is filed under the name Myotis lucifugus (little brown bat). Its description in RNAcentral is "mir-9229 microRNA precursor family". It matches the Rfam family "mir-9229 microRNA precursor family". The record is from Rfam by way of RNAcentral. Lineage: Eukaryota; Metazoa; Chordata; Mammalia; Chiroptera; Vespertilionidae.